Molecule: ribosomal RNA, 254 nt
Filed under: uncultured bacterium
Lineage: Bacteria
Description: partial 16S ribosomal RNA
Rfam family: Bacterial small subunit ribosomal RNA
Source: RNAcentral
UACGAACCGAGCGAACGUUGUUCGGAAUCACUGGGCUUAAAGCGCGUGUAGGCGGGCCGGUGCGUCGGUCGCUGAAAGCCCCCGGCUCAACCGGGGAAGCGGCACCGAGACGACCGACCUGGAGGGGGGUAGGGGGACCUGGAACUUCCGGUGGAGCGGUGAAAUGCGUUGAGAUCGGAAGGAACGCCCGUGGCGAAGGCGAGGUCCUGGACCGUUUCUGACGCUGAGACGCGAAAGCCAGGGGAGCGAACGGG